CGAUUACUUCUGAAAAACAUGUAUUCAUGUAUUUCUUUCAAUGAAAGCAAGACGAUCGAAAUUUCUUUUGCAGAUUUGGCUGGAGCAACACGGAAGCCGACCAAGUUGUCAAAACGAGGUCUUUCGGGUUGACAUAACCCAGAAUUAGUCGAGAAAAGAAACUUCAGCCGUAAUUCUGCCGUGAGGUGAGUAAAACUUGGUCCGCUUCUGUUCUAUGUUUUCACACGAGCUGAAAAUAGACAUGAAGCUUUGUUGAAAUCAUUAGACAACUCAGACAAAACCAUCAGUGUAAAUAUUAAAGCUUGAGCAAAUAUUGCCAUGAGAAUGCAAGUUUUCAGACUUGAUCGAAAAGACAUAUAUCUCCAGUAAGGGGCCAAGACAUAUUCUGUUGCAGUUAAAGCUUAUAUUUGCCACACAUGACAUGGAUCUUGUCAAGGUCUUGUGAGAUUUCCCAGAUUGUUAGAAAAAUAUGACACAAUUGACGAGCAAAGAGGGUCGGAGUGGAGAAGACGAAAGUUGCUAAUGGGGGAGAAGAAACAAUGAAAGAACAGCUCCGAGCCAAAUAAGUAGAGGAAACCAUCCUGGGAGCAAAGAAGCAAACAACUGGUUAGCCCAUAUGGAAAAGAUUGCUUUAAGAAGCACCACAAGGCUAUCAAUAUGUUUUAGAUAACAGACUUAAAGCCUUGAUUUCAUCACAUCAAAAUAAAUACUUGGCUCUACCUCAUCUCCACACCAGACACAAUCUGGCCCUCCAGUGAUGCAAGCUGCACAAGAAUCAAACACUGCACAUGGAUUUGAAUUUCCUAAAAAAGACAAAAAUCUCCUAUCAUGUACAGAGGUACAGAGGUAUUCAAAUAAACUGAAACAGUAUAGUAAAAAAUUUAAGGAAAUUAUCUUGAACAAUUUUGAGUAAUAUAAAAGCAUAAAAUGACAGCAAAUCAUAUUUUUUCAACCCUUUUAUAACGCAAUUCUCGGAUAUUUAAAGGUUAAAAAUCUAAAUAUUUUUAUAUCUAUUUACAAGUCAUAUCUGUUAUAAGUCUAUUUUUUUAUGCAAACAUCUGAUGCAUGCAUUGAUUUUUAUAGAUGCAGUUAGUAGAGAGGCUAGCUUCUUUCUUUCUUCAUGUCCAUUCAAAUCCUUAUUUCCUUUUCACUUGAAUUGUUUUGGGCAAAUACCUCUCGUGUUUGUUUUGGGCAAAUACCUCUUGUGGUUGUGUUUGAAAUUGUAUACCUCUUUUGAGCUACAUUGUUGAUAAGUUUUUAGCAUGACAAGUGAAAACAAAUCAAUAUGUUGAAAUGUUAACAAAAAUUCUGUGAUUUCAUCAUUAGUGUAAAUCAAUAUUUCAUCAUAAAUUUUUCUCAAAUCAAUCAUUGCUUACCUAUCAUGGUGUAAACUAAUCCAUUAAUCCAUUUUAAAAAAAGUAAAUAUUCACGAACACUAUUCAUGUUUUGAGAAUUUCAAAUGCUAAAUGUGUUGUUUAGUAAACAAAGGGUGCCCCCUUUGAUUACGUUAAAUAUUGAGAGAACUGGGUGUCCCUUAGUAUAAGUUAGUAUGUUGACAAUGUUAUUGUAUUGAGAAAUCCAAAUAAUAACAUGAAACUUAAAGAAAAAAUUUAAGGGACUAAUACCUUGGGCAUAUGUAUAAGUUGCUAGGCAUGUCAGAAUGAUGGUUAUUGAAUACAUGAUGAUCCUCUAUGUCCUGAAGGUAGCUGAAAGAUAAAAUAUGUGGUGAUCCUAUAUGUCUUGAAGGCAGCUGAAAGAUAAAAUAUGUGGUGAUCCUAUAUGUCUUGAAGGUAGCUGAAAGAUAAAAUAUGUGGUGAUCCUAUAUGUCUUGAAGGUAGCUGAAAGAUCAGGCAAGCGUAAGUUGUUAAUGAUAAACAGAACAGUCUAGAGGACAUCAUUUAACAAAAAACUCGGCAGACAUGAAGAAUCUAAGAGAAAGUAAAAGAAACGAAAUUAAAUCUACGAACAAAUUAUUCCAUGGAAAAAGUGGAACAAUAAAUGAAUUCCUAAAAUCGUAAACGUUUCCUGACAAUCAACCCUGGUUUCUCAAACGAGAAAGCUUGAAACCAAAUACCACCACAACGUCCUGGUACGCAAUGUUGAAUUAAAAUUAAACCUAACUUUAGGCGGUUUUGAACAAACCAAAUUGAAAUUUAUAUUUAGACAAUUUUAUAUGAUAAAACGUCAACAUAAAAUAUUUUGGUUAUUGACAGCACGUCAAAGAAAAAAAUUUGCAACCUGAAAUUACAUGCAGUAAACAUAACCUCUACUAUAAUAAACAAUGAAUACAUAUAUUAUAAGGUGUUAGUUAAAUUAAUUAUUAACGAUAAUAAUCAUUAAGUAAGGAUAUAAAGUCCUCAAUCCGACAUAUAUCUCUAUUCGAUUCAAAAUUUUUUGAAAUCUUGACGAUUCAAAACUGGAAAAAUUACCUUAGAAUUGUUUUCACAGAUACCAACUGCAACCUUUUGAGCUUUUGGUCCAAUAUUUCCUUGUUUUCAUCACCUGGCUCCUACUCAAAUCCGACAGAGUACAAAAUGAGCAGGAAAUGAUGAUCAAAUGAAAAAGAGGCUCGACGACGCCCUGUUGUGACGUCAAUAUGACAAUCUCUUGUAAUGUGCUUCUACUCUGGAAAUGACUAAGAGGGGAAUUUAGCUGUGGUUUAUGGGUUUAUGAAAUGAAAUUCCGUGUUUAUGACUUCUGAACCCCCCGCCCCUUUUUAUCAGAGACUUAGCAGCCUUAAUGUUAAGCAUAUUGCGUAGUUAGUAGAGAGGACCCUGGGAAAGAUUAGUUAUUAGGCUAACCAGGUUUAUCCUCUGUAAAUAAAGUUUAUCUAUCUAUCUAUCUAUCUAUUGUUUGUUUUGUAAGUCUGUUUUGUUUUAGUGAGCCAAAGUAUUGCACAGGCUGAAACAGAAAUGGCCGCACCGCAGCAAAAAAUUUUAGCGAACCAAAAUUCAAGUGGUCAUAGCAAGUUUCAUAAAAGUUAUAGGAUGACUUUUUAACUGGAAUAUGUUAGAAAAUUCAUCAAGGUUUGAUGCUCUAAAUAGUAAAUGCAAGAAUAUUCUUGUUUUUUGCCUAUUUCCAAACAAUAUCGACAUGUCGCAAGAACACAAAAAAUGAGCCACGAUGAUUGAAGUACCUGUGAAACAUUUGCAAUAAAAAGUUCAUCUUUGCACCAAUUUGUGAUAUUUUAUUACAAUGAACUUGGGGGUACCUACUCUAUGCUUGGGUGUCUAGAACUGCUCAUUAUGCUCACUUUUGUUGGAGAAUCUGCUAAAUGUUUUAGUCGGAAAUUUUUGGAGCCGCAAUGGGCCUAAUCUCAGCGGUCUCUUAGUGAUAUGUUGCAGCAAAAUUCAAUCAAUAAAAUGUGUCACAACUCGUUAAGUCCAUUAUUUCCAACCGAUUUCGAUUUUGUAAUGGGAACAAAUAAUGCUGAAAAAAUUGCAUAAAACAACAUAUCGUCCUCUCAUUAAAUGAAAAUACCAAAAUUCCCGCGAUAAACAGGUUCACUCGAAUGCCUCAAUAUCGGUAAAAGAGUGGACAUAAUAAAAUGGCUUAGAAUAUGCCACUUUCCACCAAAUACAAGGCCAUUUAUAAGCAACUUGGUACUUCAACACCUAAAUGUGAUCUUGGAAAUUUUUUUCUGAAUUUAUCAUGUCGCGAUUAACAGAAACUAUUACAAAACUUUCUGACAAACUUCUAGCAAGUCUCACAACGGUUUCAAAGCUGAUAGACUGUCCAAUAAAAAGUUAAAAAUUUUUAUGUUUUAGAAAGUAAUUUUUUGAAUUUUUAAAUUAGAAGUGUUGUCAGUGUUUUGAAGUUUAACCAAAAAGGCGCCUAAUGGCUUCACAAAAGUGGUUUGAAUUUCGAUCGCUUUGUUGUUGACAACGCGGUCGCCAUUACUGAAUUGUCAAACCUGUGCAAUACUUUUGCUCAUUAAGUGUACAAUGAUAUAGAAGAAAUCUUGACCUUGUCUGUUGUAGAGUGGCUGAUACCUUAUAGAGGGGUUCUUACAUAGUAGGACUAUAUGUCAUUACGCCUCGGUGCCUAAUUGCCACCCCUCCCCCCGCUAAUUAAUUUUUGAAAAUUUUUCCAACCACGCCGCUCUUAUUAAGAUCCCCCACCAAUUGAUUAUGACACUUUUGUGUUAAUUACUAUAGCGAAAAAAAUCAAAACUUGCAAUUUAUACCGGAAUAUAAAACGAAUGAUACAGCUGAGCCAUUCUGAGUAUUCAGUAUAUGUAAAUUCAUAAUUUUGACUCCCGGUAAUUGGAACCCCCCGCGCCGAUUUAUUCUGAACAUAAGAUCGCCCCCCCCCCGGCAAUUAGGCACCUAAAGGUAAUCAUCGUGCAAACCUCGUUUUCGUUUGUAUAUAACAUUUAGUCUUUUGUUUAGUAAUUCAGUCAGUGAUUAACCUCAACUCAAGUCGCUCGCUGAGUAAGCAUUAUCCACGCUACAACUGACGGAGGAGAGGUGGGGGGAGGGGGAAAAAUUUGCUCGAAAUUAGGCAGACCACCGAGCUGCACUAGCAUAAUUCUGUACCUGCGGUUUUUAAGAUGAAAGGGAAAUCUGUUGACUGAUUUUAACAUAAUUUCAAAUCAAAGAAAUUCCUUUCAAUGUUACGAAGCCAUAUCUACUUUCUCGAAACCGCUUGAAAUUUCUAUUGAAGGCGUGACCAACAUAAACUUUAGAGAUCAGAAUCCGCUGAAACAGUCAGAAAUUCUUUAAUCCGCAGUAGGAGAUUUAGUCGAAGAAUAGUCAUCAUAGCUGAAAGAGUCAUAAAACCUUUAAUCCGCAGUUGAAGAUAAAGUCAAGGUCGCGAAGAUGGAAGCUUUAUAAUAAGCCCCAUUUAGAAGAGCUCCAUCACUUUUUGGCGUGUAGACUGACGAUCAGUUCAGUAUUAAUUUCGAGGAAUUCGAUCAAACCACGGAGGGUUCUUCAAUAGCAAAUGUACCGCGAGCAAGAGUAUACUUUUUUCAAUUUUGGUCAUGCCAAGGUCUAGCCAAAGGUAUCAUAUUUGACAACGUUGGUCUAGGGAACGGCCUUUGAAAGAACCACAUAUUUUCCUUCUCUAUAGCUUUUAUGCCCAAAUUACUCUGCAGAAAUACCGUAAUGCCUCGAACAAGCGCCCCACUCAAAUAAGCGCCCCCCUCAAAUAAGCGCCCACCCUAGAGGUGAAAUUAUUGAAUAAGCGCCCCCUCGAAUAAGCGCCCACCCC
Rhopilema esculentum is the source of this 5214-nucleotide non-coding RNA. The record is from RefSeq and is a predicted model, not a curated record. Lineage: Eukaryota; Metazoa; Cnidaria; Scyphozoa; Rhizostomeae; Rhizostomatidae.